This 448-nucleotide ribosomal RNA is filed under the name uncultured bacterium. RNAcentral's name for it is "bacterial SSU rRNA". It matches the Rfam family "Bacterial small subunit ribosomal RNA", at positions 338 to 795 of the family's 1533-position model. The record is from RNAcentral.
CCUACGGGAGGCAGCAGUGGGGAAUAUUGCGCAAUGGGCGAAAGCCUGACGCAGCCACGCCGCGUGAGUGAUGAAGGCCUUCGGGUCGUAAAGCUCUGUCGGGAGGGACGAAGGGGCAACCCUGACGGUACCUCGCAAGAAAGCACCGGCUAACUCUGUGCCAGCAGCCGCGGUAAUACAGAGGGUGCAAGCGUUGCUCGGAUUUAUUGGGCGUAAAGCGCACGCAGACGGUUUGGAAGGUCGGACGUGAAAGCCCCGGGCUCAACCUGGGAACUGCGUUCGAAACCACCAUCCUUGAGUUCGGGAGAGGGAGGCGGAAUUCCUGGUGUAGAGGUGAAAUUCGUAGAUAUCAGGAGGAACACCAGCGGCGAAGGCGGCUUCCUGGCCCGAUACUGACGUUCAGGUGCGAAAGCGUGGGUAGCAAACAGGAUUAGAUACCCCAGUAGUC